Lycium barbarum (goji berry) is the source of this 434-nucleotide long non-coding RNA. RefSeq lists it as uncharacterized. The record is from RefSeq and is a predicted model, not a curated record. The transcript is spliced from 3 exons. Lineage: Eukaryota; Viridiplantae; Streptophyta; Magnoliopsida; Solanales; Solanaceae.
AUACUAACAAAGUUGUAAAUGUUGAUUUGUGCAAAAGUGGGGGAAAUUUUAGUGAUUUGAAUUUGAAAUAUCCAAAACCAAAUUGUCUGAACAGCAUACAAUGAAGAUGGCAGAUAAUUCAAAUCUCUUCUGGGAAUUUGCUCUUUUUAGUUUGAAGAUCUUGAAUACUGGAUGACUUGGUUUCAGUGAAAACCAACCGAAACGUGUAUCUAAAGACAGUGGGACAAAGCAAAAACUUCGAGAAUAUCGCUGUUGGCUCACCUCCUUCAAGCACUUUGUGAUCUUGAAUACUAGACACAUCGUCCACUAUGAUCAGCACUGUACAGGAAAAGGAUGUCUAUUUUACUGAGAAGUAAAAAUAGACUUGAAGUAAAAAUAACAAGUAGUUCAUUUUACCGGUAUAAUCUGAGCAGAAUCUCCUUCAAUGCUGGCGA